Molecule: unclassified non-coding RNA, 381 nt
Filed under: Hevea brasiliensis (rubber tree)
Lineage: Eukaryota; Viridiplantae; Streptophyta; Magnoliopsida; Malpighiales; Euphorbiaceae
Source: RNAcentral
GUGAUGCCUCAUUUUCCCUGUCAUCCAAAUACACAAGGGGACCAUAAGAAAAUAAUAAGUGUGGCAAAGUUUGUGUUAAUCUGGUAGAGCUCCAGUAAGUGCAGUUAUAUAUAUAUAUAUAUAAAACUUUCAAUGUAAAGCUAAAAUGCAUAAGAAAUUGACUUUAUUAGUUAGGUAAUAAAGCAAGGGAAGCCUCAUUUUGUGUCAUAACUCAUAAAUGUCGAGUGACAACCUUGACUUACCAUGACUUAAAUUUUUUAAAGAAUUUAUCGAGCACUAAAUAUUCAAGUGACUGUUCAUGUAGUUUCAUGUUUGAGAGGUGUAUAACUUUUCAUGAUCAGACACACCAUUUCAGUACACAGACCAUGAUCAACUAAAAUG